GACGUAGGGCGCGAGCGUUGUCCGGAUUUAUUGGGCGUAAAGAGCUCGUAGGCGGCUUGUCGCGUCGAAUGUGAAAUCUCAGGGCUCAACUCUGACAUUGCAUUCGAUACGGGCAGGCUAGAGUUCGGUAGGGGAGACUGGAAUUCCUGGUGUAGCGGUGAAAUGCGCAGAUAUCAGGAGGAACACCGGUGGCGAAGGCGGGUCUCUGGGCCGAAUGACUGACGCUGAGGAGCGAAAGCGUGGGGAGCGAACAGG
Molecule: ribosomal RNA, 255 nt
Filed under: uncultured bacterium
Lineage: Bacteria
Description: partial 16S ribosomal RNA
Rfam family: Bacterial small subunit ribosomal RNA
Source: RNAcentral